This 1654-nucleotide long non-coding RNA is filed under the name Polistes canadensis. Its description in RNAcentral is "uncharacterized LOC106793356, transcript variant X2". Lineage: Eukaryota; Metazoa; Arthropoda; Insecta; Hymenoptera; Vespidae. The record is from RNAcentral.
CGCAAACAAGAAAACGUAAUAUGAGAUUUUCAGUGGCUAACUUUGCACCGCAACGAGAUUAUCCUAUAACACGAAUGCAAGCAAAGAUAUUAAAUGCAUAGCAUGUGAUUUUAUCGGUAAGAACGGCGUACAGUUACUAUUAAACGCCAGAGAUUCAAGGUAAAGUACCGUUUACAUAAAGUGCUGAAAGUUACUGCUAUCGACGAACGACCAAUCAGAUCUCUUCAAUAUUUACGAUAAAUUUUCAGCUAUCGUGGUAGUGGUGUGGGUGGAGGUGGUGGUGUUAGGAGAAGAGGCCGAGUAGAAACAAAGAAGACGAAAGAUGCAGUAUGUGUAUGUAUGCAUACGUGCGUGCAUGCGUGCGUCCGAAAGGUAAACGAAGAAAAGACACUCCCGAAGGAAAAGAGACAAAUCAAUCAAAUCAAAUCACAAAAUCGGUGAUCUUCUUCGCGUUUUCUACCUCGUCCGAUAGUCGCGUGUUACCUAGUAUCGAGAAAGGUUUACGGAUAUACGCCAAUGGAAUGCCGUAAAUUUACGGGUAAAAGGGACAAAAGCGGGAAAUUCAAAUUUAUACAUUCGAUUCGCCAGAAAUUAAUCGCAAAACUAUUACCGAGUUAACACACAGGAUUGUGCUUUCAAGGAAACUUUUUGAACGUUACGUAAUACAAAAAGAAAAUUGUCCCGUUCCUUUAUUGGGAUAAAUCGAUUUUAAAAUCGUAACUGGAAAGCUUCAUUUUUUCUUUCACGAUCGAUGGAUAAUAGCACACAAGUCACGUUUCGCGGAAAACCUUUACGAUGUGAACACGAAGUUAGUAAGGAGGAAGAGGAAGAGGAAGAAGAGGUGGUGGAGAAGGUGGAGAAGGAGGAAGGUCGAAACGAUUCAGCAACUCGAGGGAUAUAUUAUCAGAAUGAAAUGAAAAAUCUGCAAUCAUAAAUAUAUCGCGAAUAUAUUUUUCCAAGAAUCAACUGUACACGCGAUGCGGGCUUUUGAUCCUGUGUUUCUUUCGUUGUAGUGGUUCGAUCGAAAAGAUACUAGAAUUUCUAGUGAUUUAUAAUAACAUAUCCCUAGAAUCUUUAUUAUAUGAAACUAAUGAAAUACGAAAUUUGGAAAUUUUGAAUCCCUGCCUUUUAAGUCAUCUUUUGUUUAUACAAUAAUGAACGUAAUUGUCCGUUUUUAUCUCUUACUGCACUUUGGAAACAAAUAAUUUGUUAAUCAUGCUGAUCUGUCGACUUUGAACGUAUAAUAAUGAAACUUAUCAUCAAGGGUUAUAGUUCGUAAAAAUCUACUUGACCCGGGGAGAAGUUUGUUGAAAAAUUAAAGGCUUUACCUCGGUCAGUGUUAAAAGUGCGAGUAUAUUAUCAGUGAAAUGUAAGAAGAAGUAUCGACGUGUAAUGAAAUAUCAUGAUACAAUAACUAGAACAAACCUAUAGUUAUUUCGUAUGGUGUAUAAUAUAUCAAAGGUCAUCUAAACGGGCAUAUUAAUGAAACGCUAAUGAUAAUGUCAAGGUAUUAUCAUUAAAAUGGCAAUGCAGAAGGUGUCACAGGUGUCUCGAUGAAACGAAUGAAAUAAUUGUGUGUGAAUAAGAGGAUUAUAAAACACAUAAGAAGAUUAUUUAAGGAUAAACGAUUAAUACUCACAAUAAUGUUGUUACC